Molecule: ribosomal RNA, 440 nt
Filed under: uncultured bacterium
Lineage: Bacteria
Description: partial 16S ribosomal RNA
Rfam family: Bacterial small subunit ribosomal RNA
Source: RNAcentral
CCUACGGGUGGCAGCAGUGGGGAAUAUUGCACAAUGGGGGAAACCCUGAUGCAGCGACGCCGCGUGAGUGAAGAAGUAUUUCGGUAUGUAAAGCUCUAUCAGCAGGGAAGAAAAUGACGGUACCUGAUUAAGAAGCCCCGGCUAACUACGUGCCAGCAGCCGCGGUAAUACGUAGGGGGCAAGCGUUAGCCGGAUUUACUGGGUGUAAAGGGAGCGUAGACGGCAGCACAAGUCUGGAGUGAAAUUCCGGGGCUUAACCCCGGAACUGCUUUGGAAACUGGGCGGCUAGAGUGAAGGAGAGGUAGGUGGAAUUCCUAGUGUAGCGGUGAAAUGCGUAGAUAUUAGGAGGAACACCAGUGGCGAAGGCGGCCUACUGGACAGUAACUGACGUUGAGGCUCGAAAGCGUGGGGAGCAAACAGGAUUAGAUACCCUGGUAGUC